GAACUCCUCGAAUCAGG
Molecule: ribosomal RNA, 17 nt
Filed under: Helvella leucopus
Lineage: Eukaryota; Fungi; Ascomycota; Pezizomycetes; Pezizales; Helvellaceae
Description: partial 28S ribosomal RNA
Source: RNAcentral